RNAcentral lists this transfer RNA (65 nucleotides) under human gut metagenome. It matches the Rfam family "tRNA", at positions 5 to 66 of the family's 71-position model. From Rfam's summary of the family: Transfer RNA (tRNA) molecules are approximately 80 nucleotides in length. Their secondary structure includes four short double-helical elements and three loops (D, anti-codon, and T loops). RNAcentral also lists the same sequence under 1 other name. The record is from RNAcentral.
CGAUAGCUCAGUCGGAUAGAGCAUCUGCCUUCUAAGCAGGGGGUCGGGAGUUCGAAUCUCCCUCG